UGAGCAAUCUGCCCUUCUCAUCGGAAUAAGCGUGGGAAACCGCGUCUAAUGCCGAAUACGACCUCCUUUCGCAUGAUCGGAGGUGGAAAGCUCCGGCGGAGAAGGAUGAGCUCGCGGCCUAUCAGCUAGUUGGUGUGGGUAAUGGCCCACCAAGGCGACGACGGGUAGCCGGCCUGAGAGGGUGACCGGCCACACUGGGACUGAGACACGGCCCAGACUCCUAGGGAGG
This 229-nucleotide ribosomal RNA is filed under the name uncultured bacterium. RNAcentral's name for it is "partial 16S ribosomal RNA". It matches the Rfam family "Bacterial small subunit ribosomal RNA", at positions 118 to 348 of the family's 1533-position model. The record is from RNAcentral.